GGUGUUUAUAAACUUGUUCAAGCUUGACGCCUUUAUUUUCUAAUAUACAUUUCUGAAAUUCCCACAAGGAUUUCAACAUCAUAUCUGAAAUGAGAAAAAAACUAAACAAAAAAAAAACACGUUUAUUUGUGUUUAAAUUCAAACAACACAGACUAAACCUGAUUGGUUCCAGAGCCAUUGAACGACUCUGAUUGGUUCGUAUGAUAAUGAGCUCGCAGCAGAGAGCUUCGUAAAUCAAAUAUGAUGUGCGUGCAAAUGUCCCUUGAAUGUGAAUAUAAGUCUAAAUUUAAACAGUGUUAUAUUAUAUAGAGCGAUCGUGUCUCUUUAGGGCGCUUGGAGGAAACCACGCAAUUCAUAUGGAUUACUUUGGCGAUGUUUUUUUGCGAUGAACUUUUUGAAACGUGAACAUCUUUGAUGAAUCUUUUCAUCGGAGGGACAUUCAUCUCUCAGAUUUCAUUAAAAUAUCUCCGCUUUUCUUUCGAAGAUGAACGAAAGUCUUAGAUGGUUUGGAGCAUCUUAAGGCUUCUGCGAGCGUGUAUGGCGUCUGGCUUCAGAACCUCACUGCGACUUCAGAUAAGAACAAAGAUUAAAUUGUAAGAAGAGCUGCUUGUAAGAGCAUACAGUACAUCUGAAACUGCUGAGACUGAUCAGCUGCUAUAGAAGACAAAAUGAAAUCUGAGUGCAGAGACAUGCAAAGGAAUACUGCAAGGCACUACUGACUAGGCUGUGCCCAGGUCUCCGGAACCUGCGGCGACGCUCAGCUCCGUUGGCCCUUAGUCUGCGCCUUCAGGUCCACCAGCUCUGUCUCCAUCGGUCGGCCCCCAGAUGUCGGCAGCCACACCAUCUACAUCUUGGCUCCUCCCUCCCUCGACUCCGCCAUGUGUUGUCAGCACUGGGAUGCUCUGGGUCUGUGCCAUGUGCCAAACACCAUCUAAGCCGCCAGGGCAUCAUCGUCAUCCUCCCAUCACCAUCCCUUCACCACAUCCUGCCAUCAUCCCGCACCUUUGCCUCUCUCCAUCCCUACACCAUCUCCUCGUCCACCUCCAAAACCCCCUCCAUCCCUCCCUAUUCUUUUGCUUGAACUUUAUCAUCUUCAGUCUUUGCACACACAUCUAUUCACUUUACAUGUUUUUUUUUCUUCAGAAAAUUGCAUUGUAAUUUUUAUUUAUUCAUUGAUGUAAAAUUCUUUACUUUUCAGUAAUACAGUCAGGUAUAACUGAAAUGU
Long non-coding RNA from Onychostoma macrolepis, 1225 nucleotides. RefSeq lists it as uncharacterized. The record is from RefSeq and is a predicted model, not a curated record. Lineage: Eukaryota; Metazoa; Chordata; Actinopteri; Cypriniformes; Cyprinidae. The transcript is spliced from 5 exons.